UGCAUGAGAUUCCACUUAUUCUAUGUGAUUUUAAGCCUCUCUCUUUAGUUACGGUGCUGAUACUCUCGAGAGAUGGAAUUGGGAAUCUGUUUCGUCAUUGAGAGCAACUAACUGCCAUUAUUCCGAGGCGGUUCCCCGUAAAGCAGACUAACUAGUAGGGUGAAAGAAUCCAGUAGCAAACGGGAUUGAUUCCAACUCCAUUAGUCUUCUGUGUUUGCAAGCACCCUUAUGACAUCCUUUAAAAGCUAGAGGAACUUCCUAUUUCA
This 266-nucleotide long non-coding RNA is filed under the name Trifolium pratense (red clover). RNAcentral describes it as "long non-coding RNA (TPRA_LNC012897)". The record is from RNAcentral. Lineage: Eukaryota; Viridiplantae; Streptophyta; Magnoliopsida; Fabales; Fabaceae.